UUCCUACUCCCUCCGUCCAAAAAUACUUGUCAUUGAAAUGGAUGUAUCUAGAUUUAUUUUAGUUCUAGAUACAUCCAUUUUCAUCCAUUUUGAUGACAGGUAAUUCCGGACGGAGGGAGUACCUA
Molecule: non-coding RNA, 125 nt
Organism: Triticum aestivum (bread wheat)
Lineage: Eukaryota; Viridiplantae; Streptophyta; Magnoliopsida; Poales; Poaceae
Source: Rfam